UCCCGCGCCGCCGGCCGCCGCGGGUGCCUCCGACUCCCUUCGUCCCCAACCGCGGACCUGCACGGCCCUGCGUUUGCUCCUCCGGGCUCCGCACCUUCCCUCCUCCGCAGAUUUCUUAUGUUGAACCUCUAAUCCCCAAUGUAAUGAGGUUUGAAGGCUUUUGAGAGGCAAUUAGAUGAUCAGUGUGGAGCCCUCAUAUGGAAAUGAUGACCUUAUGAAGAAGAAAGUGUAGAGAGAGAAUCUGUCUCCACCAUGUGAAGAUAUAAGACAGCCACCACCUGCAAAUCAGGAAGCAGGCCUUUACCAGACACCAGAUCUGCUGGUGCCUUGACCUUGGACUUCCCAGAAUCCAGACCCGUGAGAAAUAAAUGCUUGUUGUUUAACCAA
Artibeus jamaicensis (Jamaican fruit-eating bat) is the source of this 387-nucleotide long non-coding RNA. RefSeq lists it as uncharacterized. The record is from RefSeq and is a predicted model, not a curated record. Lineage: Eukaryota; Metazoa; Chordata; Mammalia; Chiroptera; Phyllostomidae. The transcript is spliced from 2 exons.